AACGCACCUUGCACCCUUUGGUAUUCCGAAGGGUACACCCGUUUGAGUGUCAUUGUAAUCUCACUAUGAUCGACUUUAUGUCUUCCGUAUGUGGACUUGGAUGUUGCCGUGGAUAUCCACGGCUCGUCUGAAACACUUCAGUGUACCCCGCAGAGCGGCGUAUUCGGUGUGAUACAUCUUCACCGGAGUUGAUCCUUUAUGGGUCGCGUCUGUAGUGUGUGGCUCUAUGCUUCCAACUGUCUUGAUAGGACAAUCUUUGACAAUUCGACCUCAAAUCGGGUGGGACUACCCGCUGAACUUAA
RNAcentral lists this unclassified non-coding RNA (302 nucleotides) under uncultured Sebacinales. Its description in RNAcentral is "sequence contains ITS2". Lineage: Eukaryota; Fungi; Basidiomycota; Agaricomycetes; Sebacinales. The record is from RNAcentral.